Molecule: ribosomal RNA, 253 nt
Filed under: uncultured bacterium
Lineage: Bacteria
Description: partial 16S ribosomal RNA
Rfam family: Bacterial small subunit ribosomal RNA
Source: RNAcentral
UACGAAAGGGGCUAGCGUUGUUCGGAAUUACUGGGCGUAAAGCGCACGUAGGCGGCUUGGUAAGUUGGGGGUGAAAUCCCAGGGCUCAACCCUGUAACUGCCUCCAAAACUGCUAGGCUAUAGGAUGCGAGAGGUUGGCGGAAUUCCGAGUGUAGAGGUGAAAUUCGUAGAUAUUCGGAAGAACACCAGUGGCGAAGGCGGCCAACUGGCGCAUUUCUGACGCUGAGGUGCGAAAGCGUGGGUAGCAAAAAGG